GUUACCCACGUGGGUCCGAAGCUGUCGCCGACCUGCGCAGGGCUGAAGUUCUGCUGCACCGCCUUGUCAUAGGGAAGCCUCUCGGGAGUCAGGAAGCUGGAGAGUGUCACUGGGCAGCUGUCCCCGAAGAGCCUGGGCAGGAGCAGCUGAUGGGCGCAUGCUCGAAGCCGCCCCUGUUCCACCCGUGUUCCAGCGGAUGGCUGGGAAAACGCUCUCCCAUGGCCAAAGCCGUGAGGCCUGCCUGGCAGCCCGGCAGCCCAGCCCAACCUCUACCGUUCGCUCCCCAGCCCCUGGCCCAUCUGUGGCGGGAACUUUGUUCCGCGGCCCGGGUGGCCACCGCCUGGGUUUCCCUCCGGAAGGGAAGGGGAGUGCGCGCGGAUGUGGUCUGCGAGCUCAGCAGGCCAAGGGCCACACCUGCCGCGAAGGUUACAGUCGGUGAAGUAGAUCGGGGACACGAACUUCUCCACCCGCUCGAAAGUGGUGCGCCAGUGCUUCAAGAACGGCGCUGCCGCCAUGGCGAUGCGCCUUCCCUCCCCGGAAGAUCCUUGGUGCUGCCGGCUCGUUGCACCGCUUGGAACCAAAGGUUCCGGCAUCCAACCAGCUUACAGACCCGAGCAGCUUUUCUGGGAACACCACGGCUUUUGCGAGAGGCUGGCUCUGGGGAAGCCUCCCCGGUUCUCAGCUCAUCCUAGCUGUCUUGACAGCUGGGUAAAUUAUCUUUAAAUACAAUGGUAUCUGCCUCUCUCAGAAUCUUUGGAAAUGGAAGCAUUACAAAUCCAGAGACAACAAUGGGUUACCUCAAAUCGUUCAUCUUCACAACGGUAAAUAUGUUCUUCAUACUGAGUCUUCUUUGAACUGACAAAAGUGGAGUCUUCAGACCAAGAUGGGAAGGAAACCCAGAAAAAUCCUACUGGCAUUGGCUACCAUAACCAUAGCCUGGCUUGUGAAAUUCAGAACCACUUUCUAUUUUGAAUUAAGACUUUGUGGUUCUGAUGAGCUGAGGCUAAAAGAGCCAGCCACGAUUAAGAGACCAGUACUACUACUACAGUGAAACUUUUUCCUUACUGGGACUAUUGAUGCUGGUUAGCUGGAGCUAAGAAAUUAGUGGUGAUUAAGAAAAGACCACAUUACUGAGGUGACGUCUUCUGAGAAAUGUCUCCUCAGGACCACCAAAGGGAUGCUGCUAGGAGCCAGAUUGGGUCCCCAGGGAGUACUGGGGCUUUAAAGGCGUGAAAUCAUCAGAGACAGCUGAGGCUUGGCACCUCGAGAGCCAGGAGAGGGCAUUGAAGGUGCAGCCAGAAAAGCAAGUGAAGCUAAGGAUUGAAGGAGUAAGAAAAAGAGCCCAGGAGAGGUUAUUUGUGAAAGGGAAGCUGAGCUGCAUUAGAAAAGCCAAGUAUUUUGAAGAGGAAAAUACAGGGGCAAGACCACCAAGCAGCAAUGGAGGAGUGCAACCUGCCUAAGCCUACGAGAUAAUCUGUAGCCAUUAGAGCCAGAAAACUAGCUGAACCUUUUGGAGGAGCAGCCCCAGCAGGUUAAUUGUAAGUGGAACCCAGGCAUUGGACACAGUUAUUUACACAGUUGGAGUUUCCCUUAUUCAGACUAUGACUGUGUCCUGGUUUUUCCCUCUUGAAGAAAAAUGAUUUAAUAAGCUCAUUUUUGAUUUUACAGGAGCCCAUAGUAGAAAGACCUUGAGUUCAGAGUUUUGUUUUUUUUUAAGAGACUGGAUUUUAAACUUUUUGAUGUAUUUGAAUUAAAAAAAAACAAAACUGUAGAACUUUUAAAGUUAUUUAUGCUUUAUUAUAGAUACUAUUAGUAGGUCAUUUUGGAGACAAAUAUAAAGGGUUCUAAU
RNAcentral lists this long non-coding RNA (1849 nucleotides) under Mus pahari (shrew mouse). RNAcentral describes it as "mannosidase, alpha, class 2C, member 1, opposite strand (MGP_PahariEiJ_G0002283.1)". The record is from RNAcentral. Lineage: Eukaryota; Metazoa; Chordata; Mammalia; Rodentia; Muridae.